UACCGGUGAAUACGUUCCCGGACCUUGCACACACCGCCCGUCAAGCCAUGGAAGCCGGGCGUACCUAAAGUCGGUAACCGCAAGGGCCGCCUAGGGUAAACUGGUGACUGGGGCU
This 115-nucleotide ribosomal RNA is filed under the name uncultured bacterium. Its description in RNAcentral is "partial 16S ribosomal RNA". It matches the Rfam family "Bacterial small subunit ribosomal RNA", at positions 1357 to 1482 of the family's 1533-position model. The record is from RNAcentral.